This is a long non-coding RNA of Octopus bimaculoides (California two-spot octopus), 510 nucleotides long. NCBI's taxonomy places the organism in Eukaryota, Metazoa, Mollusca, Cephalopoda, Octopoda, Octopodidae. The record is from RefSeq and is a predicted model, not a curated record.
UGAGAAUGUGAUCUAUCUAACUUCUGUAUUUUCCAGAUUGAUAGGUGAUGAGAAGGUUGGCUGGUUUCCUGAAGUGUGCGUUGCAAAUUGUUAGAUCAGUUGCAUUACAGAACUCCAGAAGUCUUACACCCUACUCAUUUCUUGAACCAUAUCCAUAGUUUUCAUCUAUGGUCAUGAAAACCAUCAACAUGUAGGCCAACAUGUCCAUUGAAGUCAUCAGUCAUAAUGAUGAAGUCACUGUUGAUUGUCACUGAAGUAGUUUGCACCCUACCACAAACAGAUGAAAAAUAAAGUUUACCACAGUGGGAUUUGAACUUGGAACAUUAAGAGCUGUUACUCAAUAUCAUCAGGCAUUUUCUCCUCUGCUCUAUCAAUUCUACCAAUAAUUUUCGUCGAUUAAACAGACAAGAGGAUGGACCAAGAAGAACGUGCAGAACAAAUAAAAGACAAAAUAAUCGUUGGGUGGUUGCAUCUACCCUUUGUAGUAUUUACAAGUGAGAGAUAUUUAAA